CCUACGGGAGGCUGCAGUGGGGAAUAUUGGACAAUGGGCGAAAGCCUGAUCCAGCCAUGCCGCGUGUGUGAAGAAGGCCUUCGGGUUGUAAAGCACUUUCAGUGGGGAAGAAAGCCUUGGGGCUAAUACCCUCGAGGAAGGACAUCACCCACAGAAGAAGCACCGGCUAACUCCGUGCCAGCAGCCGCGGUAAUACGGAGGGUGCGAGCGUUAAUCGGAAUUACUGGGCGUAAAGCGCGCGUAGGCGGUCUGAUAAGCCGGUUGUGAAAGCCCCGGGCUCAACCUGGGAACGGCAUCCGGAACUGUCAGGCUAGAGUGCAGGAGAGGAAGGUAGAAUUCCCGGUGUAGCGGUGAAAUGCGUAGAGAUCGGGAGGAAUACCAGUGGCGAAGGCGGCCUUCUGGACUGACACUGACGCUGAGGUGCGAAAGCGUGGGUAGCAAACAGGAUUUGAUACCCCGGUAGUC
Molecule: ribosomal RNA, 465 nt
Filed under: Vreelandella stevensii
Lineage: Bacteria; Pseudomonadati; Pseudomonadota; Gammaproteobacteria; Oceanospirillales; Halomonadaceae
Description: partial 16S ribosomal RNA
Rfam family: Bacterial small subunit ribosomal RNA
Source: RNAcentral